Molecule: ribosomal RNA, 1372 nt
Filed under: uncultured bacterium
Lineage: Bacteria
Description: bacterial SSU rRNA
Rfam family: Bacterial small subunit ribosomal RNA
Source: RNAcentral
GAUGAACGCUGGCGGCGUGCCUAAUACAUGCAAGUCGAGCGAACGGACGAGAAGCUUGCUUCUCUGAUGUUAGCGGCGGACGGGUGAGUAACACGUGGAUAACCUACCUAUAAGACUGGGAUAACUUCGGGAAACCGGAGCUAAUACCGGAUAAUAUUUUGAACCGCAUGGUUCAAAAGUGAAAGACGGUCUUGCUGUCACUUAUAGAUGGAUCCGCGCUGCAUUAGCUAGUUGGUAAGGUAACGGCUUACCAAGGCAACGACGCAUAGCCGACCUGAGAGGGUGAUCGGCCACACUGGAACUGAGACACGGUCCAGACUCCUACGGGAGGCAGCAGUAGGGAAUCUUCCGCAAUGGGCGAAAGCCAGACGGAGCAACGCCGCGUGAGUGAUGAAGGUCUUCGGAUCGUAAAACUCUGUUAUUAGGGAAGAACAUAUGUGUAAGUAACUGUGCACAUCUUGACGGUACCUAAUCAGAAAGCCACGGCUAACUACGUGCCAGCAGCCGCGGUAAUACGUAGGUGGCAAGCGUUAUCCGGAAUUAUUGGGCGUAAAGCGCGCGUAGGCGGUUUUUUAAGUCUGAUGUGAAAGCCCACGGCUCAACCGUGGAGGGUCAUUGGAAACUGGAAAACUUGAGUGCAGAAGAGGAAAGUGGAAUUCCAUGUGUAGCGGUGAAAUGCGCAGAGAUAUGGAGGAACACCAGUGGCGAAGGCGACUUUCUGGUCUGUAACUGACGCUGAUGUGCGAAAGCGUGGGGAUCAAACAGGAUUAGAUACCCUGGUAGUCCACGCCGUAAACGAUGAGUGCUAAGUGUUAGGGGGUUUCCGCCCCUUAGUGCUGCAGCUAACGCAUUAAGCACUCCGCCUGGGGAGUACGACCGCAAGGUUGAAACUCAAAGGAAUUGACGGGGACCCGCACAAGCGGUGGAGCAUGUGGUUUAAUUCGAAGCAACGCGAAGAACCUUACCAAAUCUUGACAUCCUUUGACAACUCUAGAGAUAGAGCCUUCCCCUUCGGGGGACAAAGUGACAGGUGGUGCAUGGUUGUCGUCAGCUCGUGUCGUGAGAUGUUGGGUUAAGUCCCGCAACGAGCGCAACCCUUAAGCUUAGUUGCCAUCAUUAAGUUGGGCACUCUAAGUUGACUGCCGGUGACAAACCGGAGGAAGGUGGGGAUGACGUCAAAUCAUCAUGCCCCUUAUGAUUUGGGCUACACACGUGCUACAAUGGACAAUACAAAGGGCAGCGAAACCGCGAGGUCAAGCAAAUCCCAUAAAGUUGUUCUCAGUUCGGAUUGUAGUCUGCAACUCGACUACAUGAAGCUGGAAUCGCUAGUAAUCGUAGAUCAGCAUGCUACGGUGAAUACGUUCCCGGGUCU